AUGCAGCAGCAGGAGAGAUCAUCUGAUCAUGUGCUGGAUUCAGAGAAGGAAAUUUGUUUAAGAUUACCUGAAGCGGACGCGGCGGAGCUCGCGGGCGCCGUCGGCGAGCUCGCGGACGGUGAUGUACACGCCGGGCUCGUCCUGGAUCACCAAUUCCGUCACCUCCAGCUCGCUGGCGUUGCUGAUGGACACGUCGUCCGGCAUGGACGAGGUGGUCGUCCGCGUCGGCUCCGGGACGUCCGGCUCAGGGCGCUGCGGGUGUUGCUGCUGCUGCUGCUGCCAGGCGCGCUCCGACGGGUUGGACGACGACGGCGGCGGCGGGGACAGCGGGCCGCGGAAGCUGUGCUGCCGCGCCGCGCCGCCGGGCCCGCCUGGGCCGGCGCCGGUCGUUGCGGAGGGCUGCCCAUCGUCGAGCCCACCUGCGACUGCGAGUAG
Molecule: ribosomal RNA, 435 nt
Filed under: Triticum aestivum (bread wheat)
Lineage: Eukaryota; Viridiplantae; Streptophyta; Magnoliopsida; Poales; Poaceae
Description: partial small subunit ribosomal RNA
Source: RNAcentral